This 334-nucleotide unclassified non-coding RNA is filed under the name soil metagenome. RNAcentral describes it as "partial contains 5.8S ribosomal RNA, internal transcribed spacer 2, and large subunit ribosomal RNA". The stretch from base 1 to 119 matches the Rfam family "5.8S ribosomal RNA", at positions 35 to 154 of the family's 154-position model. The record is from RNAcentral.
GAUGAAGAACGUAGCGAAACGCGAAAGGUAAUGCGAAUUGCAGAAUCAGUGAGUCAUCGAAUCUUUGAACGCACAUUGCGCCUCUCGGUAUUCCGGGAGGCACGCCUGUUCGAGCGUCAUUUCAACCCUUAAGCCUAGCUUAGUAUUGGGAAUCGACUUUACUGUCGUUCCUCAAAUUCAACGGCGGAUUUAUAGCAAUCUCUGAACGUAGUAAUUUUUUUCCUCGUUUUUGAAAUACUAUAAACCUCAGCCGCUAAACCCCCAAUUUUUUUAUGGUUGACCUCGGAUCAGGUAGGAAUACCCGCUGAACUUAAGCAUAUCAAUAAGCGGAGGA